UACAGAGGGUGCAAGCGUUAAUCGGAAUUACUGGGCGUAAAGCGCGCGUAGGCGGUCCAUCAAGUCAGAGGUGAAAGCCCGGGGCUCAACCUCGGAACUGCCCUUGAAACUGGAAGGCUAGAAUCCUGGAGAGGCGAGUGGAAUUCCGAGUGUAGAGGUGAAAUUCGUAGAUAUUCGGAAGAACACCAGUGGCGAAGGCGACUCGCUGGACAGGUAUUGACGCUGAGGUGCGAAAGCGUGGGGAGCAAACAGGAUUAGAAACCCCAGUAGU
RNAcentral lists this ribosomal RNA (271 nucleotides) under uncultured bacterium. RNAcentral's name for it is "partial 16S ribosomal RNA". It matches the Rfam family "Bacterial small subunit ribosomal RNA", at positions 524 to 794 of the family's 1533-position model. The record is from RNAcentral.